Molecule: long non-coding RNA, 573 nt
Organism: Bos taurus (domestic cattle)
Lineage: Eukaryota; Metazoa; Chordata; Mammalia; Artiodactyla; Bovidae
Source: Ensembl
CUGGUAUCAGGAGCAGAGAUAGCUUGCGCCCACGUGUCCCCGAGCGUCCCGCCCACACCCCCACCUGCUGGGGGCGGAGGCACUGCCUUAUACCAGUCAGCGGCCUCUGGCGUCCAAGCUUCAUCUAGCUCCGGCCUCCGAUUGGCUGCUGAGUGAGCGUGGGGAGGUGGGGAAGCGUGCCUGCCCUUGGGCCCCCUACCCUAGUCCCAACCCAGUCCCAUAAAAGCACCGCCACUACCGCCUUCCUGCCGCCCUCCUGCACCAGGCGCCCCAGCCCUUGGCGUGACCCCGUGGUGUGCCUUUGCUCCAGCCCCUCUGCAGGUUGGGCCAUGGCCAGCAGCGUUGCCACCUGCUCCGGAUCUCACCAAGAGUGGAGCCGGCCACAGUGCUUAGCGCACAUUCUUCCUCAUUGUACACCUUUCUCACCUUGUCUCCCGGACUCCCAGGGCUCCUAUUCAUCCUUCAGAGCCCUGCCUGGCAUCUGCUGCCCAGAAGUGAGCCUUCACCACAUGAAGCUACUUUGGCUUUUUAAAAAAUUUUAUUUUUUAAAAAAGAUUUACUUAUAUUUUUGGC